CCCGCUGAACUUAAGCAUAUUAUUAAGCGGAGGAAAAGAAACUAACAAGGAUGCCCUCAGUAACGGCGAGUGAAGCGGGCAGAGCUCAACCUGAAAAUCGGUUUUUCUUGAUCGAGAUACCGAGUUGUGGGCUACAGACAUGUGGUCAGUGCGUACACCAGAUAUAAAUCCUUUGAAACGAGGUAUCAAAGAGGGUGAGAAUCCCGUCUGCGAUCUGGUUGGAGUUUGACGCGCGUACGACCCGUGUUCCGAGAGUCGCGUUGUUUGGGAUUGCAGCGCUAACUGGGUGGUAAAUUUCAUCUAAAGCUAAAUAUCGACGAGAGACCGAUAGCGAACAAGUACCGUGAGGGAAAGAUGAAAAGAACUUUGAAAAGAGAGUUAAAAAGUACUUGAAAUUGCUAAGAGGGAAGCACUGAAAACCAGUAGUGAAAAGAAUGGCCGCACGUGUAUAUUUACCUCUUGCUGUAGGCAUCAGCGUAACCCGCGGAGUUUCGCGACCUGGCGGGGGCGUUGUGGUUGGCUUAUGGUGGGUGGGACCUGUACUGUGAUUGGCCGGUCCACAUGAAUUUCAUUCGCACUGAUAGACAGCUAUUGCAACGGUAGGACGCGGGGUAGCAAUAUCUCGGGUCUGUUUAGCGCAGUAGUACAUUAAUAUCAUGGAUGAGAUUGAGGAAAAGAAAGGCGCACCACACGGUUUGCGAAGAGCGUUGCUGCCUGGAUUGUGAGAAGACGUGGACAGCAAAGCUGUGCUGUUUUCGAAACUUUCCACUGCAGCGUGCAUCUUCAGCAGCAGCCUUAGAGAUGUGAGGACUAAAUGGUUUUCAUUGACCCGUCUUGAAACACGG
Molecule: ribosomal RNA, 845 nt
Filed under: uncultured fungus
Lineage: Eukaryota; Fungi
Description: eukaryotic LSU rRNA
Rfam family: Eukaryotic large subunit ribosomal RNA
Source: RNAcentral